GUAAAUUUAGACAAGUCUGAAAUACCAGGAAUGCUGAGUUUGACCUGGGCUUUCUUGGAGGCCUCACUGCUAUGUCUGAAAGCAUGUUUAUUGCUGUUCUUCAUCAUUACUCAACAUUAAAGUUGACGCACUCAGGCUGGAGUCUGGAUUUUCAGGACUUGAAGCACACGAACAGGCUACCAUGGUCUGCUGAAGUCUGAAACCGCUGCUGAAGCUUCAGUGGCCUGUGGUUCUGGUACUACAAAAGAUAAAAAUCCCCAGGAGCUUCAGCAAGCAGGCUUCCCCUGAGGACCUUUCUCUAACGUAUCUGUGACUUUUACUGCUUCCUCCUUCUUCCAUCUGUCAGCUCGGCAGCAACAGGGCCAGACAAAGUCCAGAUAACUUGCUCUCUGUGGUCUGGCAUUGCUGAGUGCUUAACUGUG
This 422-nucleotide long non-coding RNA is filed under the name Apteryx owenii (little spotted kiwi). Its description in RNAcentral is "lncRNA (ENSAOWG00000001724.1)". The record is from RNAcentral. Lineage: Eukaryota; Metazoa; Chordata; Aves; Apterygiformes; Apterygidae.